This is a long non-coding RNA of Mugil cephalus (flathead mullet), 546 nucleotides long. RefSeq lists it as uncharacterized. NCBI's taxonomy places the organism in Eukaryota, Metazoa, Chordata, Actinopteri, Mugiliformes, Mugilidae. The transcript is spliced from 5 exons. The record is from RefSeq and is a predicted model, not a curated record.
AACAAGUGAACAUCCUUCUCCUCUCCACGGUGAUGCUUGUGUCUAUGAAUCAAUCAAAGGCCCUGAAGACAUUGAAAAUGAUGAAUCCAGGGAUGUCACAUAUUCUUUGAUUGAGCUUAAAAACAUCACUAAGGAGGGACAAUCAUCUCCUGCGGCAGCUGAAGAAACAUUUUAUUCUGAAAUCAAACCAGGAACAUCUCAUGGUCAAUAGAGAUCUGUAUCAACAAAACCAUCUGAAUAGAUCAUAAAAGUGAAGCUACUCACAUGAAUAGCAGAUAUUUAAAGACAUAAACCAGCUGAAUGUGCUGCUUUUAGUGCAGAUGUAUUUUAUAAAAAGCUUCAGUUUGUAUGAAUGUAGUGAUCGUGUGGCUUUAAUAUCAGCAUCUUUUUCAGUUCUUCAUGUUCUGUCAUCAAACAUCAUUCUGUUACAUGUCCACUUAAAGAAGCUAACUAUGUUGAGAAGAACUGAUAGUAUAACAAGUAUUUUAUGUUUCCCUGAACUGAUUAAGUAUAUUGUAAAAAGCUUGGCCUUUUCUCACAAUGUUA